GCAAGGUUGAAGACUAAUAAGGACUACUAUGUGUUUGUCGAAAGGGAUUGUUUCUUUGGCAAUACUACAUAUUCGCAGACCUUUGCAGUUUCACAAUGGUAGCAAAUACUCUGCUCCGAAAACGAACAGAAGGUGGCUAGUGUUGGAAGUUGGAGGGAACAUUUGGUGUACCAUGUUGGCAUUAAAAUGAGAGAGUAUAUAUCCUUUGCGUGUGCGCUUCUGCUUCAGUCCACCACUGCACCAAGACGGUAUAUUCAUCGCAAGUCAGUCAGACUCUGAUACUCUGCAAACAUGGCCGACAAACCAAACCUGGAGGAGGUAACCAGCUUUGACAAGACCAAGCUGAAGAAGACUGAGACUCAAGAGAAAAAUCCCCUGCCAUCACAAGAAACCAUUGAACAGGAGAAGAAGGCUUCGUGAACACGGAAGCUCCACCAUGCACUGUACAUUCCACAAGCAUUGCCUUCUUUUUCACUUUUUAGCUGUUUAACUUUGUAACCGAAAAACCUAAGUUGCAUUGUGAUUGGACGAAAGCAGAUGACUGUGCAGCACCCCCCUGCCCCCCUCCCCACGUAGCUCUUAGCCCCUUCUUACAGCAAGGAUGAACGAAAACUACUGACUGUCUGUACAGAGAAACCUGCCGCCCACCCUCCCGCCACGGCGUAGCUCCCCUCUUGUUCCCCUUCCCCUCUACCAGACAUCUCGCCUGCUUCAAACACCUCCGCAUGGCAAUAUGAGGAAGAGCAAGGGCGUGGCCAACCAAUCGCAGGACUCGCACGCUCUCCAUGUCUGAAUAGUGUGGCUUCUGGCAUAUUGUAAAAUGCUUUCAAAUUGGGCAAAAAUUUCUUGUGUUUUUUUUUUUUUUUUUUUCAUUUCAAUUCUUGGAAUGCACAUUUUGUUUUGAUAUGCAAAUAAAAAUGUAAAACCCAUGAUUAAUGUUGUGCUUCCAUUUCUAGAUUUUAUAUGCAUAGACAUACAUAGGUGAUUGCCAACCACAGUUUUACACCUAAAUUGAGAACAUUUUGACAGCAUUUGUUUUUUUAUUACCUGGGGUGCAUCUAAUCUCAUUCUGUGCAGAAAUGAAUGGAUAUAUGUUUUGAAUUUGUCUCAAAAUUGUUAUAUUGAGUUUCCUGUAUUGAAAUUCUAGCUCUUGCGUACAAGAAUACUGGAAACCAAAAUAUAUAAUAAACCUUUUUUUUAAAUGCA
Molecule: long non-coding RNA, 1206 nt
Organism: Anguilla anguilla (European eel)
Lineage: Eukaryota; Metazoa; Chordata; Actinopteri; Anguilliformes; Anguillidae
Exons: 4
Source: RefSeq, a predicted model, not a curated record